CCUACGGGGUGCAGCAGUGGGGGAUAUUGCACAAUGGGGGGCACCCUGAUGCAGCGACGCCGCGUGGAUGAAGGAGUGCUUCGGCAUGUAAAGCACUAUCGGCAGGGGAGAAAAUGACGGUACCUGACUAAGAAGCCCCGGCUAACUACGUGCCAGCAGCCGCGGUAAUACGUCGGGGGCAAGCGUUAUCCGGAUUUACUGGGUGUAAAGGGAGCGUAGACGGCUGUGCAAGUCUGGAGUGAAAGGCAUGGGCUCAACCUGUAGACUGCUGUGGAAACUGGGCGGUGUGAGUGUCGGAGAGGCAAGUGGAAUGCCUAGUGUAGCGGUGAAAUGCGUAGAUAUUAGGAGGAACACCAGUGGCGAAGGCGGCUGGCUGGACGAUGACUGACGUUGAGGCUCGAAAGCGUGGGGAGCAAACAGGAUUAGAUACCCGUGUAGUC
This 440-nucleotide ribosomal RNA is filed under the name uncultured bacterium. Its description in RNAcentral is "partial 16S ribosomal RNA". It matches the Rfam family "Bacterial small subunit ribosomal RNA", at positions 338 to 795 of the family's 1533-position model. The record is from RNAcentral.